AGAGUUUGAUCCUGGCUCAGAACGAACGCUGGCGGCGUGCUUAACACAUGCAAGUCGAACGAGAAAGUUUCCUUCGGGAAACGAGUAGAGUGGCGCACGGGUGAGUAACGCGUAGGUAAUCUGCCCUUACAUUUGGGAUAACAUUGGGAAACUGGUGCUAAUACCGAAUGGUCUUCUUUGCUGCAGGGCGAAGGAGUAAAGGUGGCCUCUUCAUGAAAGCUACCGUGUAGGGAUGAGCUUGCGUACCAUUAGCUAGUAGGUGAGGUAACGGCCCACCUAGGCUACGAUGGUUAGCGGGUCUGAGAGGAUGAUCCGCCACACUGGAACUGGAACACGGACCAGACUCCUACGGGAGGCAGCAGUGAGGAAUAUUGCGCAAUGGGGGAAACCCUGACGCAGCGACGCCGCGUGAGUGAGGAAGGUUUUCGGAUCGUAAAGCUCUGUCAGAAGGGAAGAAGUGUUGCAUGGUUAAUACCCAUGCAAUUUGACGGUACCUUCAGAGGAAGCACCGGCUAACUCCGUGCCAGCAGCCGCGGUAAUACGGAGGGUGCAAGCGUUGUUCGGAAUUACUGGGCGUAAAGGGCGCGUAGGCGGCCUGAUAAGUCAGAUGUGAAAGUCCACGGCUCAACCGUGGAAGUGCAUUUGAAACUGUCAGGCUUGAGUAUCGGAGGGGAGUGUGGAAUUCCCGGUGUAGAGGUGAAAUUCGUAGAGAUCGGGAGGAACACCGGUGGCGAAGGCGACACUCUGGACGAAUACUGACGCUGAGGCGCGAAAGCGUGGGGAGCAAACAGGAUUAGAUACCCUGGUAGUCCACGCCGUAAACGAUGUGAACUAGGGAUAGGGGGUGUUGAUCCCUCCUGUCCCGGAGCUAACGCAUUAAGUUCACCGCCUGGGGAGUACGGUCGCAAGAUUAAAACUCAAAGGAAUUGACGGGGGCC
Molecule: ribosomal RNA, 938 nt
Filed under: uncultured delta proteobacterium
Lineage: Bacteria; Deltaproteobacteria
Description: bacterial SSU rRNA
Rfam family: Bacterial small subunit ribosomal RNA
Source: RNAcentral